AAUAGCCUAACGGCUGAACCAGCAACUUGGAGGAAUGUAUAGCGAAAGCUAAUUGCAUUUAAUUUAGCGAAAGUUAAAUUUGUGCAAUAUUGACUAUGUCGAAUAAAGUUCUAGGUAGGUUAUGAUGAUGACAUUUCCUAUUUAUGUGUCUUGACCAAAUUACGUGCCAGCAGUCGCGGUAACACGUAAAAGACUAGUGUUAUUCAUCUUUAAUAGGUUUAAAGGGUACCUAGACGGUAAAUCAAGUCCGAUAAGGAUACUAAUUUUCUAGAGUUUAAUGUGAGGGGGCACUAAAGUACUGAUAAGUGUAGAGAUGAAAUUCUGUGAUACAAUAUACGGCACUGGCAAAGGCGAAAGCAUCUCAUUAUGUAAUAACUGACGUUGAGGGACGAAGGCUAGGUGUAGCAAAAAGGAUUAGAUACCCAAGUAGUCUUAGCAGAAAAUUAUGAAUGUCAUAGGAUAGAAAAAUAGACAAAAAUUUUUUUUCUAUAAAUGAAAGUGUAAGCAUUCCACCUCGAGAGUAAUUUGGCAACAUUGGAACUGAAAUCAUUAGACCGUUUCUGAAACAAGUAGUGAAGUAUGUUGUUUAAUUUGAUGGUCCGCAAAAAACCUUACCACAAUUUGAAUAGAAAAUUUCUUUUCAUACAAGCGCUGCACGGUUGUCUUCAGUUAAUGUCGUGAGAUCUUGGUUAGUUCCAUUAAAUUAACGUAAACCCUUAUUUUAUUUUUAUAUAGAGUAGUUCACCGCUAGAUUGGAUGUGAUAACAGGGACUAAGACAAGUCAUCAUGGCCUUAAUAUUGUGGGCUAUAGACGUGCCACAUAUGCCUUACAAAGGGAUGCAAAAUUGCGAAAUUGAGCUAAUCCCCUAAAAAUGGAUAAAAACUUAAU
Molecule: ribosomal RNA, 889 nt
Filed under: Rinodina pyrina
Lineage: Eukaryota; Fungi; Ascomycota; Lecanoromycetes; Caliciales; Physciaceae
Description: SSU rRNA
Rfam family: Bacterial small subunit ribosomal RNA
Source: RNAcentral